Molecule: ribosomal RNA, 710 nt
Filed under: Lysobacteraceae bacterium enrichment culture clone z175
Lineage: Bacteria; Pseudomonadati; Pseudomonadota; Gammaproteobacteria; Lysobacterales; Lysobacteraceae
Description: bacterial SSU rRNA
Rfam family: Bacterial small subunit ribosomal RNA
Source: RNAcentral
UUGAGUUUGAUCCUGGCUCAGAGUGAACGCUGGCGGCAGGCCUAACACAUGCAAGUCGAGCGGCAGCGCGGGGGCAACCCUGGCGGCGAGCGGCGGAUGGGUGAGGAAUACAUCGGAAUCUACCCAGUCGUGGGGGAUAACGUAGGGAAACUUACGCUAAUACCGCAUACGACCUGAGGGUGAAAGCAGGGGACCGCAAGGCCUUGCGCGAUUGGAUGAGCCGAUGUCCGAUUAGCUAGUUGGCGGGGUAAAAGCCCACCAAGGCGACGAUCGGUAGCUGGUCUGAGAGGAUGAUCAGCCACACUGGAACUGAGACACGGUCCAGACUCCUACGGGAGGCAGCAGUGGGGAAUAUCGGACAAUGGGCGCAAGCCUGAUCCAGCCAGGCCGCGUGUGUGAAGAAGGCCUUCGGGUUGUAAAGCACUUUUGUCCGGAAAGAAAUCCUGUCGGUUAAUACCUGGCGGGGAUGACGGUACCGGAAGAAUAAGCACCGGCUAACUUCGUGCCAGCAGCCGCGGUAAUACGUAGGGUGCGAGCGUUAAUCGGAAUUACUGGGCGUAAAGCGUGCGCAGGCGGUUUUGUAAGCCAGACGUGAAAUCCCCGGGCUCAACCUGGGAAUGGCGUUUGGGACUGCAAGGCUGGAGUGUGGCAGAGGGGACUAGAAUUCCUGGUGUAGCAGUGAAAUGCGUAGAUAUCAGGAGGAAUACCGA